This 399-nucleotide ribosomal RNA is filed under the name uncultured bacterium. Its description in RNAcentral is "partial 16S ribosomal RNA". It matches the Rfam family "Bacterial small subunit ribosomal RNA", at positions 359 to 776 of the family's 1533-position model. The record is from RNAcentral.
GAUAUUGCACAAUGGGGGAAACCCUGAUGCAGCGACGCCGCGUGAGUGAAGAAGUGUUUCGGUGUGUAUAGCUCUCUCAGCAGGGAAGAAAAUGACGGUAGCUGACUAAGAAGCCCCCGCUACCUACGUGCCAGCCGGCGCGGUAAUACGUAGGGGGCAAGCGUUAUCCGGAAUUACUGGGUGUAAAGGGAGCGUAGGUGGUGUGGUAAGUCAGAUGUGAAAGCCCGGGGCUCAACCCCGGGACUGCAUUUGAAACUAUCAAACUAGAGUGCAGGAGAGGUAAGUGGAAUUCCUAGUGUAGCGGUGAAAUGCGUAGAUAUUAGGAGGAACACCAGUGGCGAAGGCGGCUUACUGGACUGUAACUGACACUGAGGCUCGAAAGCGUGGGGAGCAAACAGG